AGAACGAACGCUGGCGGCAUGCCUAAUACAUGCAAGUCGAACGAACACUUCGGUGUUAGUGGCGCACGGGUGCGUAACGCGUGGGAAUCUGCCCUUGGGUUCGGAAUAACAGUUGGAAACGACUGCUAAUACCGGAUGAUAUCGAAAGAUCAAAGAUUUAUCGCCCAGGGAUGAGCCCGCGUAGGAUUAGCUAGUUGGUGAGGUAAAGGCUCACAAGGCGACGAUCCUUAGCUGGUCUGAGAGGAUGAUCAGCCACACUGGGACUGACGACACGGCCCAGACCUCCGUACGGGAGGCAGCGAGUAGGGAAUAUGGACAAGUGGCGCAAGCCUGAUCCGAGCAAGUGCCGGAGUGAGUGAGUGAACGGUACCGUUAGGGUUA
This 381-nucleotide ribosomal RNA is filed under the name uncultured soil bacterium. Its description in RNAcentral is "bacterial SSU rRNA". It matches the Rfam family "Bacterial small subunit ribosomal RNA", at positions 26 to 429 of the family's 1533-position model. The record is from RNAcentral.